Molecule: transfer RNA, 83 nt
Filed under: Canis lupus familiaris (dog)
Lineage: Eukaryota; Metazoa; Chordata; Mammalia; Carnivora; Canidae
Also listed under: 1 other name
Rfam family: tRNA
About the family: Transfer RNA (tRNA) molecules are approximately 80 nucleotides in length. Their secondary structure includes four short double-helical elements and three loops (D, anti-codon, and T loops).
Source: Rfam by way of RNAcentral
GCCUGGGUGGCUCAGUGGUUGAGCAUCUGCCUUCAGAGCAGGGUAUGAUCCCAGGGUCCUGGGAUCAAGUCUCACAUCGGGCU